GAUGAAGAACGUAGCGAAAUGCGAUAAGUAAUGUGAAUUGCAGAAUUCAGUGAAUCAUCGAAUCUUUGAACGCACAUUGCGCCCGCUAGUAUUCUGGCGGGCAUGCCUGUCCGAGCGUCAUUUCAACCCUCAAGCCCCCGGGCUUGGUGUUGGGGAUCGGCGAGCCUCCGCGCCCGCCGUCCCCUAAAUCUAGUGGCGGUCUUGCUGUAGCUUCCUCUGCGUAGUAGCACACCUCGCACUGGGAAACAGCGCGGCCACGCCGUUAAACCCUCAACUUCUGAACGUUUGACCUCGGAUCAGGUAGGAAUACCCGCUGAACUUAAGCAUAUCAAUAAGCGGAGGA
This 343-nucleotide unclassified non-coding RNA is filed under the name soil metagenome. RNAcentral describes it as "partial contains 5.8S ribosomal RNA, internal transcribed spacer 2, and large subunit ribosomal RNA". The stretch from base 1 to 120 matches the Rfam family "5.8S ribosomal RNA", at positions 35 to 154 of the family's 154-position model. The record is from RNAcentral.